UAAAACACAACCAACACCACCAGAUCACCUUUUCUAUUUGUUCAUCUGGCUGCUAUAACUCACAUACAGCAGCCAAACAAAAUCUAAAGUUAAUGAUUUAAGGGUCAAGAGCCCAACUAAACCAAACACUGAUCUCCAUAAUGGUGACUUAAAAAUUACGGUUUUCUCCUUCAGAGAUUCUGCUUGUUAACAUCAGGUGUCUUCAAUAAUGCUCAAUCAUCACUCAAUUAUUAACUUAAUUAUCUCAUUAACUUUAACACUGCUUCAGUGUUCAUUUAACACUCUGCUCAGAGUUUAUAUAAUUCACACUCUCAGUUGUUCAUUUAACACUCUGCUCAGAGUUUAUAUAAUUCACACUUCUCAGUGUUAAUUUAACACUGGGGAUUUUGC
Long non-coding RNA from Rhinichthys klamathensis goyatoka, 390 nucleotides. RefSeq lists it as uncharacterized. The transcript is spliced from 3 exons. NCBI's taxonomy places the organism in Eukaryota, Metazoa, Chordata, Actinopteri, Cypriniformes, Leuciscidae. The record is from RefSeq and is a predicted model, not a curated record.